Molecule: ribosomal RNA, 301 nt
Filed under: uncultured bacterium
Lineage: Bacteria
Description: partial 16S ribosomal RNA
Rfam family: Bacterial small subunit ribosomal RNA
Source: RNAcentral
CAGCAGCCGCGGUAAUACGAAGGUGGCUAGCGUUGUUCGGAAUUACUGGGCGUAAAGCGCGUGUAGGCGGGUCCUUAAGUCAGGGGUGAAAUGCCAAGGCUCAACCUUGGAACUGCCUUUGAUACUGGGGAUCUUGAGUCCGGGAGAGGUGAGUGGAACUGCGAGUGUAGAGGUGAAAUUCGUAGAUAUUCGCAAGAACACCAGUGGCGAAGGCGGCUCACUGGCCCGGAACUGACGCCGAGGCGCGAAAGCGUGGGGAGCAAACAGGAUUAGAUACCCCCGUAGUCCCUGUCUCUUAUAC